Long non-coding RNA from Manduca sexta (tobacco hornworm), 1330 nucleotides. RefSeq lists it as uncharacterized. The record is from RefSeq and is a predicted model, not a curated record. The transcript is spliced from 5 exons. Lineage: Eukaryota; Metazoa; Arthropoda; Insecta; Lepidoptera; Sphingidae.
UGUUUGAGAUGGUUAUGAAUUGUCAGUUUUUGGAAUGUCUAAGAUAACAUUUUGAAGUCUGACAUUUCGUAAAGACAAACCACUACAUCAUUGAAUAGGCCAGUAGAUAUUAUUUUCUUGACUGGGGUUACUUUUCGCUUGCUAUAUGUAACCAAACAGUCCGUUGUAUCAAAGGGAUGAAUUCUAAACGAUUCAAUCCUUAGCUUCAUUUGAACGGAAGGCAGUGCAUUGAACUAUGAGGAAACGUCUCAAUAGUGGCAAAUGAGGCACGCUCAACGCUCGCAGUUUUAAGAAAAUUUCUUUAAAGAAGCUUUAAUUCAACGUCUUUGGAAAAUGCACCAGGAUUUACUUUUAAUGAGUUUCGAGAGUGCAACUUGGGGUUUACUUUGUAAAUGAAUGGAGAAGUUGGCUGCGCGGGCUACAUCGAAAAUCUUUAUUUAUUAAUUUCAUCGAAUCGACUUGCAAAGAAAUGCCGAGUUAUAAACAAGAUGUUCGAGUUAAUAAGGAGAUUGCUGUUGAGAAGUUUUCCCAGAAAGCACUAGAGGUUUCAAAGUAAACCAGCAUUUUAUUAUAAUUUGAAAGGGCAUUGAUUGUGAAUGCGCAUCGAGUGCUAUAGUCGUUUGCUUUGGACGUAGACAAUGCUAUUAUAGAAUAAACGAACGUACUGAAAUAAAAUAAAAUGUGUGGUGUUGUUUGAAGUGUAAUAAAAUGCGGGCCUAGUAUUAGGCAGGAGAAGACUUGAAACAUUUCUUUUAACUAUAUUGCGAGACGAGAAACUCAUGGACGUCGAGAUAAGAUAUACAAUAAGAGCGUUAUGAAGCAAUUAUGUCUAUUAGAAAAUGGUGAGCUCUUUUAACAGAAUGGAGGAUUUUGUACCGUUAUCUUGGAUGUAUUUAACUGUCAGCGCCACUCGAGACAGCCUGUCAGAUCAUAUCUGAAGCGUCGUGCUUCGCGAAUAUGACGACUUUUUGCAAAAAAAUCCUAAAAGAUGUCUGAAGAGCCCAGCGCCGAGGCGAGACCGCCGAAAAAAAUUCAUAACGACUCUUUAACGCCAUCAUGUUAAUGACGAAUCAAACUAUCUCCAUACGAAAAUCAUCGAAAUUAGCGCCGUCGUUCAACGUACAUACAAGCAGACAGACUAAAAGACAGAGUUACUUUCGCAUUUAUAAUACACAUAUAGAUUUAUCAAAGGAGAUAACCACAAUCUAAAAAUAUAUAAAUACAAAGAAUUUAGUUUAGAGGCUACAUAGAAUUUACGUGAUUUUUCACAUAACUGGUGACUUUCGCGUUGCUUGGUCAUAAGAGAUCACUUUUUGAUUGCGUAAAUAAG